CGCUGACGAGCGGCGGACGGGUGAGUAACGCGUAGGAAUCUACCCAGUAGCGGGGGAUAGCUCGGGGAAACUCGAAUUAAUACCGCAUACGCCCUAAGGGGGAAAGCAGGGGAUCUUCGGACCUUGCACUAUUGGAGGAGCCUGCGUAGGAUUAGCUAGUUGGUGAGGUAAAGGCUCACCAAGGCGACGAUCCUUAGCUGGUCUGAGAGGACGAUCAGCCACACUGGGACUGAGACACGGCCCAAACUCC
Molecule: ribosomal RNA, 250 nt
Filed under: uncultured bacterium
Lineage: Bacteria
Description: partial 16S ribosomal RNA
Rfam family: Bacterial small subunit ribosomal RNA
Source: RNAcentral